This 253-nucleotide ribosomal RNA is filed under the name uncultured bacterium. Its description in RNAcentral is "partial 16S ribosomal RNA". It matches the Rfam family "Bacterial small subunit ribosomal RNA", at positions 524 to 776 of the family's 1533-position model. The record is from RNAcentral.
UACAGAGGUCUCAAGCGUUGUUCGGAUUCAUUGGGCGUAAAGGGUGUGUAGGUGGCGCCGUAAGUCGGGUGUGAAAUUUCGGAGCUUAACUCCGAAACUGCAUUCGAUACUGCGGUGCUUGAGGACUGGAGAGGAGACUGGAAUUCAUGGUGUAGCAGUGAAAUGCGUAGAGAUCAUGAGGAAGACCAGUGGCGAAGGCGGGUCUCUGGACAGUUCCUGACGCUGAGACACGAAGGCCAGGGGAGCAAACGGG